Molecule: ribosomal RNA, 282 nt
Filed under: uncultured bacterium
Lineage: Bacteria
Description: partial 16S ribosomal RNA
Rfam family: Bacterial small subunit ribosomal RNA
Source: RNAcentral
GUAGGGGGCAAGCGUUAUCCGGAUUUACUGGGUGUAAAGGGAGCGUAGACGGGACAGCAAGUCUGAUGUGAAAGGCGGGGGCUCAACCCCCGGACUGCAUUGGAAACUGUUGGCCUGGAGUACCGGAGGGGUAAGCGGAAUUCCUAGUGUAGCGGUGAAAUGCGUAGAUAUUAGGAGGAACACCGGUGGCGAAGGCGGCUUACUGGACGGUAACUGACGUUGAGGCUCGAAAGCGUGGGGAGCAAACAGGAUUAGAUACCCUGGUAGUCCACGCCGUAAACG